AGUAUGACUCUCAUCCCCAAACUGGACAGAUAUAUAAUAUGAAAACUACAGACCAAUAUUCCUUAUGAAUAUAGAUGCAAACAUUCUAAACAAAAUACUAGCAAACCAAAUCCAGCAGCAUAGAACAAGGUUUAUGUAGCAUGGACAACUGAGAUUAUCCCAGGAAUGCAAAGUUAAUUCAAUAUACAAAAGUCCAUUAAUACAACAUAUUAAUAAAGGACAAAACAACAUGAAAAUCUUGAUACAGAAGAAGCAUUUAACAAAACCCACAGCCCCUCCUUUUUUUUUUUUUGAUUAAAAAACACUCAGUAAACUAGGUUUAAUAAAAGAAUUUCCUCAACUUGAAGCAAACCCACAGCUAGCUAACAUCAUACUCAAUGGUGAAAGACUGAAUGCUUUCCCCUUAAAAUCAGGAACAAGAAAAAGAUGUCUGCUCUUGUCACUUCUAUCCAAUAUUGUACUGGAGGUGCUAGCCAGCACACUAAGGCAAGAAAAUGAAAUAAUAGGAAUCUAGACUGGAAAGGAAGAAGUAAAAGUAUUUCUGUUCACAGAUGCAUGAUCUCAUAUGCAAAAAAUACUAAGUGACAAAAAAAGAAUUUUAGAAAAGCUACAAUAUACAAAAUCAAUAUACAAAAAUUAAUUUUAUUUCUAACACCAGUGAUGAAUACAAAAAUAAAAAUUAGAAAAUAAUCAUAUAAUUAAAGUGGCAUCAGUAAAAUACUUAGAAAAAAAUUAAAGACGUCAAGACUUGCACACUGAAAUCUCUAAAACAUCACUGAAAUAAAGACCUAAGCAAAUGCAAAGACAUCCCACAGUCAUGGAACAGAAAACCUAACACCAUUAAAAUAGCAGUUAUUUCUCAAAUUUAUCUACCAAUUCAACUAAAUCCCUAUCAAGAUCCCAGCUGUUUUGCAGGAAUUGACACAAUGAUCAUAUAAAAAUUCAUAUGCAAUGCAAGGGACCCAAAACAGACAAAAUGAUUUUGGGGAAAAAAAAAAAAAAAAUGGAGGACUUGCACAUCCCAAAUCUAAACUUACUACCAAGCUACAGCCAUCAAGACAGUGCGGUGCUGGUAUAACGACAGACAUAUAGGGCAAUGGAGUAAGACUGAGAAUCCAGAAAGUCUUAUAUUUAUGGUCAACUGUUCUUUGACAAGGGUACCAGGACCAUUCAUGGGGAAAUAAUAGUCUUUUCAACAACUGGUGCUUGGGCAGAUGGAUAUACAGAUACCAAUGCACUUAUGCAAAAAAUGGAUGAAAUAGGAAACUUCACUACAUUCUACUGCAUGCUCGGUCAUUUUCAAUCAUUUAGGUGGCAACACUGACAAGAUAACAGAAAGAUGGAGGUAAUAACAUGUGAAAGGCAAAAUGGUUUGUUUUUUUUUUUAAAAAUGACAGUCUCUAUCAUGAAUUUACUUACACUCCAGGCAAAGGUUAUUAGAAGAAAAAAAGAUGUAAGAAAAUUCCUUAACUGAAAUGUGGAAAGAGUAUCAAGAGGAGACCCUAAGACACUCUGUAAGAAUCCCAGUGACUCCUCACUGUUCAACUAAGAAAUGUACCCCAUUAUGCUGUGCUACCACGGAAGCAUUGGAGGCACUUUGGGGGUUGAUGAAGUCUUCAUGGAUGAGGUACUUUAAAUAUCUGGUCAUGAAGAGUAUUUGAGAAAUAUGACAAGUGAAGAUGCUGGGUAGGAAUGCAGCGAGGAAAGUGUGUAACACAAGGCCAAAUUGGAAAGGUCAGUGAGGGGGCAAUCUGUGGAGGCACUGAAUGCAGAGGAUAUUAAAAUUAGCAAGAUAGUGUUCUAGCACAAUGAAAAGGAUUGGAAGAGGGAGAUGAGAGUCAGGGAGUGAAAUUAGGCAGCUGCUAAGAAUGUCCGGGUGAGUCAGAGGAUCAGGACCUGUAAGGGCAGUAUAAAGAAGGAAGGAAUGAUGGGAGAGGUUUAGGGGGAAAGAAGUGACAACCUGUGACAAUUGAGGAAUGAGAGAUUUUGAUGAUUGGGGUGAAGGUUACAUUUCUUAAAAAGAAACAAAGAAUGGUCGGUCGAUAGAGAUGCAAGAUGAAGAAUUUUGUUUUUAGGACUACUGACUAUGAGGUAACAAAGAAAUCCCAGAGACAGAGGUCUGAGCAAAAGAUAUGGGAUUGGGGAAGAAUCUUUGGGAGUGACUGAGGUUGACUAGAGGGAACUGGGCAAGAACAGGUAAGGACUUUAAGCAGAAUUGGAGGAGUAUCCAUCUAAAAUCUGGGUAAACUGGGAUGGAAAAACAAGUAGCCAGAGAAGCAACAGCCCAAGCUAGGGUGUUGUCAAGGUUAUAGAUGUUACUGAUUUUGGCAAUGAGGAGAUUAUAAGGAUCCUUGAAGACUGUACUUUCGGUGAAACUACCAUGCAUUAGUAGCCUUUCACAGUGAUAUCUACCCCACACCUGCAUCAAAAUCUUGCAGUGCCUAUUAAUAAAUGCCAACCCACUAACGGGGAGGGGAGAAAAGACUUGGGACUCUGUACUUGUAAAACCCUCUACCCUCCCCAGGCAAUUCUUUACACACUAACACUGUUGAGGUAAAAGGAGACAAGUGAGGGAGCAAAUGGAAGGUGUGUUUUUGGAUUAUACAGUGGCUCAUGGAAGGGUGGGAGGGGUACAGAUGGCCCUUAGACACUGGCGGAAAGUCAGAGAAAAAAAAUUACAGUAAGCAGGUAAAGGGAUCAAGACUACACAGGGACUAGUCUUGGGACGACAUUUCUUCCUCUGACAGUUUGUAUGGAAUUCUUGAGAAAAAUUCCUCGAAGGGGCCUGAAAUCUCAGAAUGGUCAUGUUUUUAAUGGGAAUAGGGAGUGAUGCUGCCCCAUUACAACCAUCUGUUCUAACAGAAUGUCUGUACCGAGGAGGGAUGAGUAACAUCGGCAAGUUCUGUUCGAAGCCUUUUUCAAGUUUCUUUUUGAUAUGUAUCUAUCUAUCUAUCAUCUCCCUAUACAAGCAAGCAUCCCCAAAAGUAGUUGUCUCAGGAAACCAGGGUUAGGAUGACCAGCUCAUUUGCUGGAGCUGCCAAGGUCCAGAAAAGUUUGGCUGCAGGCUGUUUUCAUGUUUUAUGUAUGUUUGAAAUGUUCUAUAAUAAUAAAAGGUUAAAAAAGUUUACAUUUAUUUGGAAAACCAGUUACUUUAGUUUAUGGUUCCUUUUUUUCCCUCCAGAGCUUCCUGGAGAUUGAGGUCUAAUUCAAAGAAAACCAAAAUAUAUAAUAGAGUACCUGGGCAAAAAAAGUACUUUUAUAACAUAACAUUUGGGGUAGAGGAAGUAUCCACUGUAGUCAAAAUGUCUAUGUUUUGCUCUUCCUUAUUGUUCAGGGACAUUCCAUUAAAUAGUAAUGAAAAGGCAGCAAAAGUAAGAGGAGUGACAACAUGCCCGGCAUAAUUAAGCAAGCUAGAGCAGCUAUUCUGUGCAACCGACGAUUUUUUUUCUCUAAAAUUUUAAGGGUAGGUUCAUUCUGACUCUGUUAAAAGUCUACUUGAUGUGAACAACUCUAUAUCUGAUAACCUAUUUCAAUUACCACUUUAAAACUUGUCAUAUGGAUACGUUAUUACAAUUGUAGAACUUUAAUAAAUACCAUAAUAAUAAAACUUGAGAACUGAAGAGCACACAUUUCUUCACGAAUUUAUUAUAUAAAACGCCCUCAGAGUAUUUAAUUUCUCCUCACUUUAAU
This 3690-nucleotide long non-coding RNA is filed under the name Homo sapiens (human). RNAcentral's name for it is "HSALNT0380170". Lineage: Eukaryota; Metazoa; Chordata; Mammalia; Primates; Hominidae. The record is from RNAcentral.